AUCUCCUGCCCCCUCAGCAAGCCUGGAUCCCUAAGAUCAAUGAGGUUUCCAGACUUCCUCCCUCUUUUUGCCCUUCACGAGAGCGCUUUGCUGGGUGCGCAAGUGUGCGUAUGAGGAGCGAAGAGCGCCGGAAGGGUAAGUGGACCCCUUGCUUCAGCCGGGGGGGCAGGAGGAGACCUCCACGUCACCCGAGGAUCAGAGGACUCCUCCGUCGCGCCGGGGGUGGGAUCCCGGGAAGUCUCUUCAGGCUACAGAGAGCGGGGGGAGCCUUCCGGGAUGUGAAUGCUUUGGAAAAGCCCCCUCCACAGCUAGCCCCCUCCACAGCUAGGCACCCUGCCACCUCCGCGCGUGUGUACUUCUGUACGUGUGCGCGAAAAGACAAAGUGUAUGGGAAGGUCAGGCUGGUGAGCUUCCACUGCAGCUCAGAUGGGAAGGAGCAACUUUCAGUGCUCUGUUCUUAGUGGUUUCCUGCCUUUUAAAGUGAACUUGUUCGAGUGUGUUAUUCAAAAUGUGGUUCAGUAGUUAUGCCUUCAAAUUAAGUUGCUUCUCGGUCCUCAUCGGGAAAAGCAGACAUGUGUCCUCAAUUGUAUAGUAUAUAUAUAUAAAACAAAAAUCUACUAGGUACUUUAUGAUUCCAUCUGGAGAAAUUAAAAGCCCAGAGCUGUAAUGUUUAUUCUUACAUAGUUUACAAAAAAAGGGGGAAAUGUGUGAGACACAUGUCUCCAAAUAUAACCAAAGUGCUUUCCCUUCUGGUUAAAAAGUUGCAUGCAAAUGUUUUCAUUUUAACACUCCCUGCCACCUGUACUUUUCAGGGAAACUUUUGUUGGCGUUAGUGAUGAAGCACCAAUAGCACUUAUUAAUGAAUUAAUUAUUAUUAUGGCUGCUGAAUUGACUUUAAGUGCUUUGGAGGCGAAACUGAUCCAUGUUAAUCAGUUACAAUUAAUUGUGUUUCAGCUGCUGUUUCGAACACAGUUGCAAAGACGAAGGCGAGAAGGCUGUGCGUGGGGUGUAGAGAAGAGGGUGAUCCGGAGACUCUUCCCUGCCCACGGCCCCCUUGCUCAGAGAUCUCCUCUUGGGUUGCAGAAACCGGCGAAAUGUUGUCCCGGUGCCCGCGUCAGGUCACACAAAGGAGAUUGGGACAAUAGCUGGAGUGGAUUAUUCAUUCCCGUAGGCAAUACUUCCCUGUAUGGGCUUCAGGAUGCAGUUGGAAGCUUGGGAACAAAGCGGGCGUCGAAUGUCAAGGCUUCUUUUGAGGAAGAAAUAGCUCUGCUGGGACCCCAUGCCUGGACUUUGGAGGGCAUGGCACAGUGGUCUGAUAUGAAAGCACUGUCCCUGCAGAUGGAAACUCUCCUCUGUAUCCUGUGCCUUGCAAGAGAGGCAGUGAGGGGACAUUGAAGUAACCAAGCAUCUGGCAUAAAGCCUGACAAUCCACUUCACACUAUGUGAAGGAAAGUUUGUUCCAAACCGCAUACUUUCUGGUGCUCAGUACUGGUGUCAAACUGGUUUGAACUGUCCCAAGUCUAAAAUAAAGAUCUCCAUUGUGGUAUGGCA
RNAcentral lists this long non-coding RNA (1551 nucleotides) under Parus major (Great Tit). RNAcentral's name for it is "lncRNA (ENSPMJG00000011641.1)". The record is from RNAcentral. Lineage: Eukaryota; Metazoa; Chordata; Aves; Passeriformes; Paridae.